RNAcentral lists this ribosomal RNA (273 nucleotides) under uncultured bacterium. Its description in RNAcentral is "partial 16S ribosomal RNA". It matches the Rfam family "Bacterial small subunit ribosomal RNA", at positions 524 to 796 of the family's 1533-position model. The record is from RNAcentral.
GACAGAGGGUGCAAACGUUGUUCGGAAUCACUGGGCGUAAAGCGCGUGUAGGCGGCUUCUCAAGUCGGGUGUGAAAUCCCAGGGCUCAACCCUGGAAGUGCAUUCGAAACUGGGUAGCUAGAGUACUGGAGAGGAAGGUGGAAUGCUUGGUGUAGAGGUGAAAUUCGUAGAUAUCAAGCGGAACACCGGUGGCGAAGGCGGCCUUCUGGACAGAUACUGACGCUGAGACGCGAAAGCGUGGGGAGCAAACAGGAUUAGAAACCCCCGUAGUCC